Molecule: ribosomal RNA, 445 nt
Filed under: uncultured bacterium
Lineage: Bacteria
Description: bacterial SSU rRNA
Rfam family: Bacterial small subunit ribosomal RNA
Source: RNAcentral
CCAGACUCCUACGGGAGGCAGCAGUGGGGAAUAUUGCGCAAUGGGGGCAACCCUGACGCAGCAACGCCGCGUGAUUGAAGAAGGCCUUCGGGUUGUAAAGAUCUUUAAUCAGGGACGAAAAAUGACGGUACCUGAAGAAUAAGCUCCGGCUAACUACGUGCCAGCAGCCGCGGUAAUACGUAGGGGGCAAGCGUUAUCCGGAUUCACUGGGUGUAAAGGGAGCGUAGACGGCGACGCAAGUCUGGAGUGAAAGCCCGGGGCCCAACCCCGGGACUGCUCUGGAAACUGCGUCGCUGGAGUACGGGAGGGGCAGGCGGAAUUCCUGGUGUAGCGGUGAAAUGCGUAGAUAUCAGGAGGAACACCGGCGGCGAAGGCGGCCUGCUGGACCGUGACUGACGUUGAGGCUCGAGAGCGUGGGGAGCAAACAGGAUUAGAUACCCCCGUA